ACCGAUAGAAUAGAUGACAGUUUUAGUGAGGCAUGCUGAGUAGUUAUGGCUGACUCAGUUUACCUAGACAUUAUCAGAGGUGUAUUUCCUUAGAGACCACAUUUGCAUUGGCCUACAUGCUUCAGUGCUCUCAAAGCAUUUAUAGAGGAGACAGGGAGGACACUCACCGACAGACUAACAGAACUGACAUCAUGGCUGCUGUCACCAUCGUCAUCUGGACCCUUGCCUGCUGCAUGACCGGGUCGCUGGGUCAGGUCACUGUGACUCAGUCUGCAGCUCAGUCAGUCAGGCCUGGUCAAACCGUCACCAUUGACUGUAAACACACACCUGCUGUGUUCUGUGUGGAUAGUGCUACCAAAACUAAAAAGUGCAUGUCCUGGUUCCAUCAAAGACCCGGUGAGGUUCCUACACUCCUGAUACACCACACAUCAGACAGAGCCUCUGGAGUUUCCUCCAGGUUCAGUGGCAGUGAGGACGGAACCCACACUCAGUUUAAUCUGACCAUCAGUGAUGUCCAGGGUAGAGACGCAGGGGAGUACUACUGUCAGAGUGGGCAUAAAGAGGGUGAGACCUGGAUGUUCACACAGUGAAAAAGCGCCGUACAAAAACCUCCCUGAGUAACUGCAGCUGGCUUGGCCCUCGGGUGGUGCAGAGGGGGAAGUCAAAGACACGGGUACUGGAUACACAAAUA
Non-coding RNA from Clupea harengus (Atlantic herring), 691 nucleotides. Lineage: Eukaryota; Metazoa; Chordata; Actinopteri; Clupeiformes; Clupeidae. The record is from the annotation of a RefSeq genome assembly.